UACAGAGGGUGCGAGCGUUAAUCGGAAUUACUGGGCGUAAAGCGUGCGUAGACGGCUAUCUAAGUCGGGUGUGAAAGCCCCGGGCUCAACCUGGGAAUUGCAUUCGAGACUGAAUAGCUAGGGUACGGUAGAGGGAAGUGGAAUUCCCGGUGUAGCGGUGAAAUGCGUAGAUAUCGGAAGGAACAUCAGUGGCGAAAGCGACUUCCUGGACCAGUACCGACGUUCAGGCACGAAAGCGUGGGGAGCAAACAGG
This 253-nucleotide ribosomal RNA is filed under the name uncultured bacterium. RNAcentral describes it as "partial 16S ribosomal RNA". It matches the Rfam family "Bacterial small subunit ribosomal RNA", at positions 524 to 776 of the family's 1533-position model. The record is from RNAcentral.